Homo sapiens (human) is the source of this 1625-nucleotide long non-coding RNA. Ensembl annotates it as long intergenic non-protein coding RNA 3103. Lineage: Eukaryota; Metazoa; Chordata; Mammalia; Primates; Hominidae. The record is from Ensembl.
AUGCUUGAGCCCGCUUGCCCAACUCCUGAGAUGUCAUCGGGAAGCUGCUGAUCAGCAAUUACAGACCCAUGCUGGAUGUGUUCGUUCAGCUCAGCCCCACCUUCUCUGAAACUAUCUCAGAACCAGUGGCUUUGGUUGGGCACUGGAAGUACAUAAAGAAGAAGACAUACAUGCUGUCUCAGGGUGAUCGUGGGUCUCUAGCCAGGAGUCAGAUGACAUCACCACCAUCACAAGCUGGUGAUGCCAGAGAGGUCAAUAAUGAAACUCGUGGCCCAUCUGUCCUUCCGGUGUGCCCUGCACUGUGCUAAGAACUUCCCAUCCACUGGAUCUCACGGAGGUUCACAGUCAUCUGAAGAGGGGGUCCUGUGUUCACCUGCAUCUUGCAGAACACAGCAAGCAGUCACCGUCUAUGAACUAGAAAGCUGAUUCACCAGACACCGAAUCUGCCAGCACCUUGGUCUUGGACUUCCCAGCCUCCAGAACUAGGAAAUGUUCCAACACAUCUGAGGAAACACAUGCCUUCCCAGACUGGCCUGUUGCUGUUUCCCAGGAGCUGCAUUCUGGAAGGUGGACCAUCAGGUGGAAGAAGUAUUCUUCAGAGAGCUGCCUUCCCAAGGGAAUGGUGACAGCUUGCGCUUGCCGGGGAGUCCUGCUGCCUUCCGAGGUGUGAAGGGAAGGCAUGCACUGUGCAUAUGCUGUACCAUACAGUUUUGCCUACAACUGCUUGUAGCUUCAUUGUAGCUGUGAAUGCUCCGUUCCUCUCCUUUUCACCCCUGAAGAUUCGCGAACAUGCAGGAUUGAGCUGUGCGAGGCAUAGCAUUCCCCACAUGGUAGACGAAGGCGGAUGUGGGUCUGAUGGCUCUACUGCCGUCCACCCGGGAGGAUGGACGUGUGUUCCGGGAUAUCAGAGCUUGCGGCUGACCAGCCCACAUGUCCAUGCAGCCCUCCCGCUGGCUGUGUCGACAUUUUGGGUGUCACUGAAGGAUUUUACUGGUGCAGACUUUACAAAGGCAAAAUUGUUUCUCAAGGAAGUGGACAUGAAAGAUCUAAAAUCAGGGCUGCUUAAAAAAAGCAAGCACAGAUUAAUGACCUAUCUACAUCCUACACGGUUUUAGGACUGCGCCUAGAUGGGCUUAAAGACCCUAGCCUAAAAACUGUAAAUGUGCUUCCGUCUUUGCCCUGUAGGACAAGAAAGCCUUACGGGCUUGCUUCUAACUGUGAGAGGAGGAGAGGCCAGGAAGGGAGAGGGAGAAAAGGAGGAGAACAGGAGACGAGAAGGAGGGGAGAGUGAGGAGAGGAGGAGAGAGGCUUGUCAAAAUCUUUUUAGUGCACAAAACUAAUUUUGUUCAUCUUGGAUUUGGUGAGCUGGGUAAUAUUCUGUGCACGGCUCCUAAAUGAAUUAUUAAAUGUCAACUCAAGAUGGCUUAACUAAAAUACUCAAUUUAAUAACCAAAAGUAUCUAAGGUAACAACAACAAUUUUGCAGGUGAUUGUAGAGUUGUCAAGUCAAACCAUUAUAGACAAGCAUUUGGGGUUUUCACAUAAUCUCCUUCCACAUCUCAUCUUCUGUCACUAAAUACCCACUCUGGUGAGCAUAUUCCAUUUCAAUAAAGAUCAUCGCUUCGG